Brassica oleracea var. oleracea is the source of this 596-nucleotide long non-coding RNA. RefSeq lists it as uncharacterized. Lineage: Eukaryota; Viridiplantae; Streptophyta; Magnoliopsida; Brassicales; Brassicaceae. The transcript is spliced from 6 exons. The record is from RefSeq and is a predicted model, not a curated record.
GAAGACAAGAAUGGGUGGCCAAGGCGAAGAAAGCUCUAAAGAAGAACAUAUGAAGAAGAUUGGCUUAUUCUUCAUCUCAGCUAGCAGCUCCGCAAAACCCGAUAUCGUCUGCUGAUUUUUUGACUGGGAAGUCAAAGCAUUUUGGGUUCAUACAGUUUGAGGACCCUGAGGUGGCGGAAAUUGCAGCGGUUGCGAUGCAUGACUAUUUGUUGCUCGAGCACAUGCUCCAAGUCCACGUUAUUCUACCAGAGCAUGUUAAACCCAAUCUGUGUCAAUACAAACUAGUGGAUUGGGUUCAAAGUAAACAACAUAACAACAAGGAAAGAACACUGGAAGAGCAUAGAAAAUUGUUGCACAAGGUAGUGAAACGAGAUCAGAAAAGGAGAAAGCGAAUCGAAGCCGCUGGUAUAGAAUAUCAAUGCCCCCAGCUUAUUGGAAAUACGCAGCCAUUACCUAAAAAGAUCAAGUUUACUGAAGACUAGGUACCUCGAAGCGGUGGAGAAGACAUCUUCCAUUAGCUUUUUUUUGGGAUAGAAUCUUGUGUGUUGUACUAAACUAUCAUUGCAAUGAAAAUUUACCAAGAGCGUAUGUUAGAU